Molecule: transfer RNA, 77 nt
Filed under: Proteus mirabilis
Lineage: Bacteria; Pseudomonadati; Pseudomonadota; Gammaproteobacteria; Enterobacterales; Morganellaceae
Description: tRNA-Met
Rfam family: tRNA
About the family: Transfer RNA (tRNA) molecules are approximately 80 nucleotides in length.
Source: RNAcentral
UGCGGGAUGGAGCAGUCUGGUAGCUCGUCGGGCUCAUAACCCGAAGGUCGUUGGUUCAAAUCCGGCUCCCGCAACCA